AUUUUUUCCGGGGAACUGAAACACACUAACAGUACCUGCACGUGUUCCAAAAAAAACCCAAAUUAGGCCCAGGGCCUCUUUCGGCCCAAAUCGCAACUCCGGCAUGGCGGCUCCGCCGUGCUCCGGCGAUGGCGCCAGCGCCUGGGGUUGGCUGUUUUCGGCCGUUUUCGGCCGAAUUCGACCACACUCGCAUCGGUCCUUGUGAGAAAACAACCCCAGGGCCCUCGGGGGGCCAAAAAAUCACGGAAAAACGGAGCUUACCGGCGGCGGCGCUCUCGGGUGCGACGGCUCUCCGGCGAGGUUCGUGUUUUGGUGAUUCGGCUCCGGUCAACCUGUAGAGAAAAGAAUGGUGAUCACGGUGAUAUAAAAAUUGCAUCGAACGGAGGCCGGGAAGGGCCUCGUCGGAGGCAAAAACCGAGAGGGGACGCGGCGGCGCCGCUGGGCUUCGGCCGCGUAUUCCGGCCGUUUGGCCGGGAUUUCGGCCUCGAUUUGGCCAUAGGAGGAAUCAGCGUGGAAAAACGAGUCGGGGGUAUAAAAUUUACCUCGAUCGGCGGUCGGAAAUUUCCCCGGUGCGGCGGCGGGUGGCGGCGGUCGGCCUCUGGUUCGUCUUCUCCGGCGAGCGGCGGGCGGCUAGGGUUUGUGGUCUGGUGUGGGGGUUCUAUUUAUAACCCCUUGCCUUUUGAUCUCAGCCGUCC
This 695-nucleotide long non-coding RNA is filed under the name Carica papaya (papaya). Its description in RNAcentral is "long non-coding RNA (CPAP_LNC012213)". Lineage: Eukaryota; Viridiplantae; Streptophyta; Magnoliopsida; Brassicales; Caricaceae. The record is from RNAcentral.